UAUACCUAAUGAAUAUAGCUAGACGAUAAUUGAUAGCUAUAAAUAAUAACCAAUUAUCAAUGUUAUUAUUAAGUAAUAUUACGUAUGCCCUAUGGAUUUACUCUUCAUGUUUAUAAUUCUCUUCAUUUUUGAUGUUUUUUUUUUCUAUUUAUGUAGUAGGUAUACGAGCGUAUAUGUGUUACUUUUAUAAAGUAUACGCUUAAUCACUAAGAUGGUUCACGGGUAUACCCUCCAAAACACCACUGGAUACUUCGUACAAUGAACAAAUAAAUCGUUGAUGUAUAACAAUUUAACAUUUGAAAUUGUAACAAUAGUGCGUAUGCGAAAAAAUUAUUUGUUAACCUUUUUUACACGGAAAAACAAUUUUAUGUGAAAC
Non-coding RNA from Cinara cedri, 376 nucleotides. The record is from the annotation of a GenBank genome assembly. Lineage: Eukaryota; Metazoa; Arthropoda; Insecta; Hemiptera; Aphididae.